RNAcentral lists this ribosomal RNA (600 nucleotides) under uncultured bacterium. RNAcentral's name for it is "bacterial SSU rRNA". It matches the Rfam family "Bacterial small subunit ribosomal RNA", at positions 8 to 612 of the family's 1533-position model. The record is from RNAcentral.
AGAGUUUGAUCCUGGCUCAGGAUGAACGCUAGCGGCGCGCUUAAUGCAUGCAAGUCGAGCGAUGAGGGCUCCUUCGGGGGUCACAUCAGCGGCAAACGGGUGAGUAACACGUAGGUAACCUACCCUUGAGGCGGGGAUAACGGCUGGAAACGGUCGCUAAUACCCGAUAGGCUCUGGGACCUGGGAUGGUUCGAGAGGAAAGCGCUCCUUCGGGAGAUAGCGCUUAAGGAGGGGCCUGCGGCCCAUCAGGUAGUUGGUGCGGUAACGGCGCACCAAGCCAAUGACGGGUAGGGGGUGUGAGGGCAUGACCCCCCACAAUGGGACUGCGACACGGCCCAUACUCCUACGGGAGGCAGCAGCAGGGAACAUUGCGCAAUGGACGAAAGUCAGACGCAGCGACGCCGCGUGGGCGAGGAAGGUCUUCGGAUUGUAAAGCCCUUUUCUGGGGGACGAGGAAGGACGGUACCCUAGGAAUAAGCGUCGGCUAACUACGUGCCAGCAGCCGCGGUAAGACGUAGGACGCGAGCGUUAUCCGGAUUUACUGGGCGUAAAGCGCCUGUAGGCGGUCGGGUAAGUCGGUUGUGAAAGCCCCGUGCUCAA